RNAcentral lists this ribosomal RNA (620 nucleotides) under Melanocetus johnsonii (humpback anglerfish). RNAcentral's name for it is "partial large subunit ribosomal RNA". It matches the Rfam family "Bacterial large subunit ribosomal RNA", at positions 1797 to 2619 of the family's 2925-position model. Lineage: Eukaryota; Metazoa; Chordata; Actinopteri; Lophiiformes; Melanocetidae. The record is from RNAcentral.
CGCCUGUUUACCAAAAACAUCGCCUCUUGCAACCAUAAUGAAUAAGAGGCCCCGCCUGCCCUGUGACUAAAUUAGUUUAACGGCCGCGGUAUCAUGACCGUGCAAAGGUAGCGUAAUCACUUGUCUUUUAAAUGGAGACCCGUAUGAAUGGCCUUACGAGGGCUUAGCUGUCUCCUCUCUCCAGUCAAUGAAAUUGAUCUCCCCGUGCAGAAGCGGGGAUGACUACAUAAGACGAGAAGACCCUAUGGAGCUUUAGACACUAGAACAGACUAUAUACACUAGUCUUAACACAAGACAGAACCAAAAAAGACCCCUGUUCCAAUGUCUUCGGUUGGGGCGACCACGGGGCAAUACAAAACCCCCGCGCGGAACAAGGACAAACCUCCACAAGCAAGAGCCCCCGCUCUAACUAACAGAAUUUCUGUCCAUAAAGACCCGGCUAAGGCCGAUCAACGAACCGAGUUACCCUAGGGAUAACAGCGCAAUCCUCUUCUAGAGACCCUAUCGACAAGAGGGUUUACGACCUCGAUGUUGGAUCAGGACAUCCUAAUGGUGCAGCCGCUAUUAAGGGUUUGUUUGUUCAACAAUUAAUAGUCCUACGUGAUCUGAGUUCAGACCGG